CUCAGAGUUGAGGUUUUAAGACUGAUCAGAAUCCUCCUGGGUCGUCUCAGAGUCGAGGUUUUAAGACUGAUCAGAAUCCUCCUGGGUCGUCUCAGAGUCGAGGUUUUAAGACUGAUCAGAAUCCUCCUGGGUCGUCUCAGAGUCAAGGUUUUAAGACUGUAUCUGAAUCCUCCUGGGUCGUCUCAGAGUCAAGGUUUUAAGACUGAUCAGAAUCCUCCUGGGUCGUCUCAGAGUCGAGGUUUUAAGACUGAUCAGAAUCCUCCUGGGUCGUCUCAGAGUCGAGGUUUUAAGACUGAUUAGAAUCCUCCUGGGUCGUCUCAGAGUCAAGGUUUUAAGACGUUAUCUGAAUCCUCCUGGG
This is a long non-coding RNA of Oncorhynchus tshawytscha (Chinook salmon), 358 nucleotides long. NCBI's taxonomy places the organism in Eukaryota, Metazoa, Chordata, Actinopteri, Salmoniformes, Salmonidae. The record is from Ensembl.